Molecule: ribosomal RNA, 109 nt
Filed under: Acanthosepion pharaonis
Lineage: Eukaryota; Metazoa; Mollusca; Cephalopoda; Sepiida; Sepiidae
Source: RNAcentral
GCAAACAUAUCACGUUGAAACAUCAGUUCUCGUAUGAUCACCGAAGUUAAGCAACGUCGAGCCAGGUCAAUACUUUAAUGGGCGACACCUGGCGAAUAUCUGAUGCUAU